This 253-nucleotide ribosomal RNA is filed under the name uncultured bacterium. RNAcentral describes it as "partial 16S ribosomal RNA". It matches the Rfam family "Bacterial small subunit ribosomal RNA", at positions 524 to 776 of the family's 1533-position model. The record is from RNAcentral.
UACGGAGGGAGCUAGCGUUGCUCGGAAUUACUGGGCGUAAAGGGCGCGUAGGCGGGAUGGCAAGUCGGUCGUGAAAUGCCUCGGCUCAACUGAGGAUCGUCGAUCGAUACUGCCGUUCUUGAGGAUUGCAGAGGAGACUGGAAUUCCCGGUGUAGCGGUGAAAUGUGUAGAGAUCGGGAGGAACACCGGUGGCGAAGGCGGGUCUCUGGGCAAUUCCUGACGCUGAGGCGCGAAAGCGUGGGGAGCAAACGGG